ACCUCAGUCGGAUAAAGAGAGUGUGAAGCUUCUCACUGUUAAGACAAUUUCUCACGAGUCUGGUGAGCACUCUGCACAAGGAAAAAGCAAGAACUGACAACUUGAUGAAUCCUCCCUACAACUAGGCAAUAAAUAUGCUUCACCUUCAGCUUCUCUGCUCCAAGGCUGGGAAGGGGGAGACUCCAGCAGAAUCAGUCCCACCUCCCAGUCCUGCGGCCCGCCUGCACCAACUACUGUCCCAAUAAAGUGAUGUCCAGUGGGCAUGCAGUGAUUUGACAGAAUCAGAAAGAAUUCUUGGUCUCUCCUGACUUUUGCGACUGAGAAGCACAUGACCCCUUUUUAUAGAAACAUUCCUAGGAAAGCAAUUUUUAGGAGGGGUGUUGAGAGCAGUGAACCUGACAGCCCAGGAAGGUGGGCUCGCUGAAGGCACACCCUUCCUGGAGUUAAAAGUUUCCAGGGCUGACAAUUUUUGUGCAUGAGGAUUUUACUACUUUCUGGGUGUCCUUUUAUUACCUAAUGUCUGUAUUUAUUGUUUUCCACUAUGUUAAUGCAGAAAACAUUUGCAAAUAUGUUAUUAAAUAUUAGAUAAAAAUCA
Molecule: long non-coding RNA, 595 nt
Organism: Nycticebus coucang (slow loris)
Lineage: Eukaryota; Metazoa; Chordata; Mammalia; Primates; Lorisidae
Exons: 3
Source: RefSeq, a predicted model, not a curated record